This 3035-nucleotide long non-coding RNA is filed under the name Vigna radiata. RNAcentral describes it as "long non-coding RNA (VRAD_LNC007403)". Lineage: Eukaryota; Viridiplantae; Streptophyta; Magnoliopsida; Fabales; Fabaceae. The record is from RNAcentral.
AAAGAUUGGUGGUAUGUGUUAUUGCCCGCAAAAGCCUGCUGAAAUGCUGAUGGCAUGUAAGUAUAACUCUGAGGCAAGAACGGAUAGCCAAUCAUAUUAGCAAAAUGUCCCAGGGGAAGGGUAGGCUGGGAAUAGGGAUGCAGAGCAAGGUGUUGUUGGGGGACUGCAGGUCCAGUGGCAACAUUGGCACCAGGUAGAGCUUGUGGAUUAGGUUGAGGCGUUGAAAUGUUAUUAGCCCUCAGAGCCUACAAGUUGACAAAUAAUAUUAAUGACAACAAAUACUGUGCUCUCCCUCGUAAUAACAAAAAUUAUGAAAUCAAUAUACAAGUAAGGAUACAAAUGAUAAACUCCAAAUGCAACUGUUGGCAAUGUCAAUAUAAAAUGCCCCAUGACCUGGGAUUAUUUUAGAUUAAAUAUGAUAAAUCCCAUGUUUGCGAAUGUAAGGCACAGAUACAUGUAGGAAAUCCAUAUUCGAUAUAAAAUACUAAUACAAUUACACCCCAUAUUUGUAGUCCCAGAUUAUACUCUGUUUUCUAAUAUCCAGCAACCACAAAGUACUAGCCAACCUCGAGUAUUACACUUCACACGGACUGGGAAAUGGAAAAGAUCGUCAACUUGGAUUGGAAUAGGAUAAGCAACACGUUGAAAUAUAUAUAUAUAUAUAUAUAUAUAUAUAUAAACAUAUUUUAUUUAAUAUAUAAUGUCUCACCAGGAUCUUCAUUUUUUAAAGUAAUAGUAUUUCAGUGCCUUUGCACAAUAUAUUCACAUAACAAUAUGACGUCAAUAAAUUAUCCACUCCCAUUUUUAUUGGAAUAUCAAACUGAUUAGUAACACGAUAAAUGGACAUAGAAUCACUCAAGAUUUAUCACUGGCAGAUUGCAGAGCAGAGUGCAGAAAUACUCAAGAUUAAAUCAAACACAAUGCAGACACAGGAUACCAUCCAUGCAGGAACGUAGGCAUAAAAAUGCAAAAUGCCUCUUCUCACCUAAUAUAUCAUUUUAAGUUGCGAAUUAACUAAUUAAAUGCAAACUAUGUAGGUAGUAAACAGUCAUUAGACAAAUAUUGGCUCAAGUGAAGACUCUAUUAACCAUCAACACUCAUUGAAGUAGCUCGCUCAAGCGAACACUUGCUAGUGCUGUUAUGUACCAGAAUAUAACUGCAAUCCACUCGUACAAUGAACAUGCAAACACUAGUACACAUUCUCUUUGACUAAGAAUAAUCAACCUGUAACAUAUGCUAAAGAAAAAUUAAGAUAAGCAGGAGCAGAAGUUCACCUCGGACAUGGUGAUAGUGGGACCACCAAUUGAAGAAGCAAUGCUGCUAUAUUUAGCAGGCAUUGAUUGUGUUGCAGGGAAGGGUGAGUAUGGGAUAUCCUCCCUUGCUGUUUGAACAGUUGAAGCCAACAGAGCACUGGGCAAAGAAUUGGUAUAAGCCUGCAAUGAAACAGCACUGUAAGUUUGGCCCAAGUAGCAACAUAGCUAGAUAAUAUUGAAACGAAAUAAAAAAAAAAAAAAAAAAAACUGCAGGGAUACAAGUUAUUACUACAUAUGACAGUAAAGCAAUAAAUGGCCCUGCACAAUAUUUUAAGUCACUUACUCGGCAUAAAUAUGUGUGAUAGACAAAUCAUAAACCAUGCCAGUAAAACGGAUGACAUAUCAAAUGGGGGAAUUUCUAUCCACAAUUCCAUCACAAAAAUUGAUUAAAAUUGCCCAUCCAAAGUUCACUUUUUACAGUGCACUUUUUACUUUGAAAUAGAGGUGAUACUUUGCCAUUGUCCCUGUUGUCUUUCAUGUUACCAUAGCAGCAAUUGUUUAGCUGAGAAGUUUUAUGCUCACUUUCUCUGGUGAGAUGCAAAUUUUGUGUCCUGGUCACAGCAGAAGCCGAAGAGGCUAGCUAUAAGCAAUGGCCACUUUCCAGGAAGUGGAUGUCAGACAGUUGCACGCUCCAUGCUUUCUAUGCAGGAGUCAGGUUAUUUAUUGUCUCAUAAAGCAUGGCAAUUUUGAUGCCGCCAAGACAAUGCAAGUUUGAAACGGUCCACAUUAUCACUGCCUACAAAAGCUUUGAACUCUGAUUUUGUAGGAACACUAUGUAUAAAGUGCAGAGGUCGUUUAACCAAUUUUCUGAAAGUAGAGCAUGAGAUGGUUCAGAUGCAAUCUAUGCCCCCUAUGCAAGGCGGUCCUGUCUCAUAAAGCAUGGCAAUUUUGAGCUCUCCUAGACAAUCCAUGUUAUGGUCCUCGUGAUCACUGUCUAUGAAAGCUUCCAGUUAGUAACACCUAUGUAAACUGUAGAAGUUGUAUAAAUAUUUUUUUGCAAAUACUUUAUUCGACACUGUUGCCUUUAAGGAACAAUAUCCAGGUUGCAGUUCAAGAAGAGGCACAAACGUCAAAUCUUCAGUCAAUAGCUUAGAAAGAUGGAUUUGUACCAGAAGUCAGUUUGCUUAUCUCAGAGCCUUAGAGACAAGACUGUUCAUUUAGUUGCAGGUAGGAUUAUAAUGACGAAUUUGGGCCUAUGCUCCCCAACGGCAACUUAUUAGGAGUUAAAGAUCUGCUGAUGUGGCAGUUAGUUAGGGUAUGUGAGUCAUUAUACGGAGAGGGGGCAUGCAUGUAAUCAUCAUCCAGUACUUUUGUGGUAGUCCUUAGGGACUGGGCAGAGAGAGUUAGUCUUCUCUCAGGUGCAUUUGCUCUGAGAUUACAGGGAUGUUUACAGUGUUAUUUCUUGUUUUUCCAAUCAAGAAUAUUGUUGAGGUUCUACUGAAUCUAGUUCCAACAAUAUCAAAAUCAUUUCAGAACUAAAUCUAUAUAACUAACAGAAUCAGACACGAAAAUGUUGUAUAUUGCAAUUCAAAAGAUUUAAGAAUUCUAUGCAUUACCAUUACACUAGAGAAGGGAGACAGGUUCUGUAUCUGUGAGUUUGUCUGUGAAUGAGGGAACGUAACAUCUGGUUGUUGGGCAUUUUCGUAUGCAAACUCGUGCUGAGAAGAAGGAAAUGAGUAUUGAUUUUCCUGAGCAGUUUCAGGGGGUUCAGAUUUUAAAGCC